AUACGGAGGGGGCUAGCGUUGUUCGGAAUUACUGGGCGUAAAGCGCGCGUAGGCGGCCUGUCUAGUUGGGUGUGAAAGCCCGGGGCUCAACCCCGGAAUUGCAGUCAAAACUGGCAAGCUAGAGACCGAGAGAGGUGAGUGGAAUUUCCAGUGUAGAGGUGAAAUUCGUAGAUAUUGGAAAGAACGCCAGUGGCGAAGGCGGCUCACUGGCUCGGUUCUGACGCUGAGGUGCGAAAGCGUGGGGAGCAAACAGGAUUAGAAACCCCGGUAGUCC
RNAcentral lists this ribosomal RNA (274 nucleotides) under uncultured bacterium. RNAcentral's name for it is "partial 16S ribosomal RNA". It matches the Rfam family "Bacterial small subunit ribosomal RNA", at positions 523 to 796 of the family's 1533-position model. The record is from RNAcentral.